UCCUCCGUGGCGCAAUUGGCUAGCGCGUUCGACUGUUAUUCUUAACUGAGACAUCGAGAGGUUGACAGUUCAAGCCUGUCCGGGGGAG
RNAcentral lists this transfer RNA (88 nucleotides) under Xylariaceae sp. FL0594. RNAcentral describes it as "tRNA-Asn". It matches the Rfam family "tRNA". Rfam says of the family: Transfer RNA (tRNA) molecules are approximately 80 nucleotides in length. Their secondary structure includes four short double-helical elements and three loops (D, anti-codon, and T loops). Lineage: Eukaryota; Fungi; Ascomycota; Sordariomycetes; Xylariales; Xylariaceae. The record is from RNAcentral.